AACGCACGAGACCUGCGGACCUGCGGAGGGAUCAUUAUAGAGUGGUAAACCCCCCGUAAAAGGGGGGGACCUCCUGUCCUUUGUAGGCUCUUUUUUAAAAGGGCUUUUUUUAAUUUUCUGCUUCGGUGGGGUUAUCCCACCGGAACAACCUCAAAACUCUUAUCAAAAAAUCGUUCUGUCUGAGAACCUUUUAUAAUAAAAAAAAACUUUUAGCAACGGAUCUCUAGAUCGGAAGAGCAC
This 240-nucleotide unclassified non-coding RNA is filed under the name soil metagenome. Its description in RNAcentral is "partial contains 5.8S ribosomal RNA, internal transcribed spacer 2, and large subunit ribosomal RNA". The record is from RNAcentral.